Molecule: RNA transcript, 3766 nt
Organism: Alosa sapidissima (American shad)
Lineage: Eukaryota; Metazoa; Chordata; Actinopteri; Clupeiformes; Clupeidae
Gene: shld2
Gene name: shieldin complex subunit 2
Exons: 10
Source: RefSeq, a predicted model, not a curated record
UGUAUGGAGGAUGAGUAGAUUGCAGCACAUUCAACAAUGUCAACUGACAAACAAGAGGAACAAUAGCUACCCUAAUGUGACUAGCCUUAAUUUAAAUAAUAAUAAUAAUAAUAAUAAUAAUAAUAAUAAUAAAAAAAACAUUAAUAAUAAUAAUAAUAAGAUAUGGUAACGUUAGUGCCUCAGCUUCUGUAACGUUACCGCUCUGUGCCAACCUUAACUUUACAUGCGUCACUUUCAACCACAAAUUUAACGUAAAGCUAACGUCGGAGAUAGCCCUGCAGAUUAUUUUCAAUGGGGACUAUGGAAGAAACCGUUUCCUAUGAAUAGAGGAUUAGCAUUUGCAGAGGUAGUCAAUCAGCAGUGAAUUGGAUUGCAUUGCAUCGAGAGGACAAAAAGAGCAUGACAGACAAACCUAAGGUUCAUGUGUUUCUCGGUGCACCAUGCUCCUCUCUGAGUGCAUCAGCUAGAGAUGCUCAUGAAGACUCUAGUGAUGAAUGGAAAACCCUGGAACUGUCCUGGGAUCAGGGCCAGUUAAGGCCUCGGACCAAUGAUAGAGGGGUCCAGGUUAACCCUGAUUCAGUGCAGGCAAAUAUCUCAUCAGGGCAGGUGAAUAUAGAUGUCAGCAAGGGUCAUUUUGAAUUGGCGACAACAUCUGAGGGGCAUUCAUUGCCAUUGUUUGAAGAAGAUGGAGAAAAUGUGGUCACUGCCAACCCUUCCCCACCUGUCCCACUAAGCCAGCGUUCUCAGAAAAAAAAUCUAUCACAGAAUGAUGAUGACCUUUGUUCAGAAUCACUCCAAGGCUACCUAGACAGCUGCUUUCCACUUGCUCAGCCUCUCACGGUGUCCGAAUGCCAACCGUCCUGCUCUGAUAUUAUGUCUGUGGAGACUCUGUACCUCAGCGUGUGGACAAAGAGCCAAGCCCUUCUCAUGAAAAGGACAUCAGGGCCUCCUCCAGAACCAGCGCCUACAGGAAUGGGUUCCCCACACACGCCACUGACCCAGCAGCAGACUCCAGUGAUCUCCAGGACCUCGCCAGAGCUGUACAGCCCCCACUCCAGCCCAGGCAGCAGCAGCCGGGCAGUGGGAGGAACCCUGCAACCCUCUUUGGACAGAUUCUCCGAGAUUCAGUGGCAGCAGGAAGGGGGUUUGAUGCUGGAGAGGACGCCAGAUGGGCUGCUUUGCACUCAGGGAAUCUCUGCAGCAGCGGCAGCUCCAGCUCCUGUCGACAAAGACGGCCCACUGCAGGGAACUCCUCCGCCCUGUCUCGCUUUACCGAGCCAGCCUACACAGACUCCACCUGGCCGGCCCGCUCACAGCUCACCUGUCUCUCCUGCUCGGAAAAAGAGCAAGUUGUCUCCAACCACACCGGAAGGUCACCAUUCAAAGCCGAAAGCAUGGGCUGGCUGUAUAACUCUCCUGGCCAGAUGCAAAACACACGGAGUGCAGUAUUCGAUUUUAGCUGCUGUGGUGCACCCCUCUCACCUCCAGGAGGUGAAGAUGAAAAGGGGUGCAGCAGCAGGAAGUGCUAUUCCCCUGGCAACGUUGAUAGUCACUGACCAGUCGGAUGUGGAAAUGAAAGUGGUGAUGUGGAGGACCGCUGCCUUCUGGGUACUGACAGUACAGCCAGGAGAUGUGCUGCUAAUCACAGGCAUAAGGGUUCACGAGGACAAGUGGAGGGGGGAAACGGUGUUGCAGUCCUCCUACACAAGCAAACUGCUCAACCUGGGCCAGGUGACCAACAGCCUCUGUUCCUCAGUGCCUCAGGCAGUGAACAGACGGACUCUGGGAGAGCUGUGUGCUCAUCUGCGGGAGAGGCGCCCCCUUCUGCUCUCCCUGCCUCGUUGCAGCCAUCAGGACCUAAGCACAAUUCCCUACGCAAAACUCAAAGCUCUGCGCCCUGAUACCCUAGUCCAUGCUCUUGUCCGGGUCACACACACCAACAUGGUAACAGCCUGGCGGGAUGAGGCCCAGGGGAUCUCCCGGGUGGCUGGAGUUCAGAGAUCAGUGUUGACUGUGGAGCAAGCAGAUGGCCAUCAGGGGGCAGUAGUGCUAUGGGGUGCUGCCCUGGCAUGGCUGGAGCGCAUUCAGAAGCAUAAAGAGGCGCUGUGGGAUUUCCGGAUGCUUCUUGUGAAGCAGGAUGUGACCUCAGGUCUCCUUGAGCUUCAUUCAACUCCCUGGGGCUCCUGCCAGGUUGUCUCUCCCAGUGAUAACCGCUGUGCAGAGUUCCUCAAGCUGGGCCAGAACAACCCAACUAACUCCUGUAUAGAAAUUGACCUACGUACACUACUGUCCCAGAAGUACACAGGUGAUGUGGAGCUUAAAGCACAAAUAACAGGCUUCCAGUUUCAAGGCAGCCCAGCCCAAAACACCUGGCAGGUGAUUAACAGCCAUAUGAGCCUUGAGACAAUUUUGGAGAUUGUCUCUGGAGACGUGACUUUCACCGGGUGUGGGCGCUGUGCUGUGGAGUUGGACACUGAUGACAAUGGAAUCUACAGGCCCUGCUACCCGUGCCUACCACACACUGCUGUGCGACACUACUACAGGCCAGUAGUACUGACGGUAAAGGAUGGUGAGUUCCAGGUGUAUGUACAGGUGCCUCCCACUCUGGUGCAGAGGGUUCUUCUGAAUACUCCCCCAGAUAAACUGAGCAAGACCGUGGCUCCCUCCUCUGAUGUUAGGCAUGUCCAGGUGGUGGCAGAGAGAAUCCAUUCUCUGUUGGCUACUGCCCACCGCAGCCCUUUUCUGCUGACUGUCCGAAGCCAAAUCCAGUGUGAUGAGAACAGUGUUCCCAUCAUCCAAGACUUUGUCCUGCUGGACUUCAGUCCAGCAAACCCAUGAGCCCCUGUUGUGGAAGCUCUCUGAAUCAUUCCUGGGCACGUAUCCAACUUAAAGAAGGGCAACUGAUGACAAAAGAACUGAGAGAAUCUGCACCUAAACAGAGCAUGGAUGUACAGGACUGUACAGGACUGUCUUGGAGGUCUACAGACAAUUCCUUCGACUUCAUGCUUGUUUUGUGGUCUGACAUGCACUGUUAACUGUGGGACCUUAUAUAGACAGGUGAUCGCAAAGGCUGUGAAUACUUAUGUACAGUGAUUUUUUCAUUUUUUAUUUUUAAUAAAUUUGCAAAAAUCUCAAACAAACUUUUUUAAGUUGUCAUUAUGGAGUAUUAUGUGUAGAAUUUUGAGGGGGGGAAAAUAAUUUAGUCAAUUUUUGAACAAGGCUGGAUAACAAAAUGUGGAAAAAGUGAAGCGCUGUAAAUACUUUACGUAUGCACUGUAUACAGAAUCACUCUGACACAUUUGUACACAAAAGUGAAGCUGUAUGUUGUGAAUUGUUCUAAAAUUUCCUCUGUCUGGAUGAAGGGCCAGAUGCUGCAGGGGAAUACCCAGGGCUCAGGUCCUCCAGUAAAUGAGCAUGUGAGCAUAUCUAAUGUGCAUGUUGUUUCUUUUAUUGUGGAAAGCACAGUAAUAUUUUUUGUGCAGGACAUUGGCCAAUAUAAAUAGACUACAUUGGAAAGAGUGGUGGUUUCUGCAAUCAGUUUGACGGAUAUUAUCCCAGAGGAGAAUGUCACCAACACAGAGAGAUUUGUGUUCUGUAUUCUUUUCGAUCUUAAAUUGAUGGUGCCUUUUCCUCCUUCAGGCUACCUCAAAAAAUACUUAUGCGCAGAAUAGUGUAGCGUGCUAGCAUAGACAGUCCUGGAAUGGUGGACUGUGCAGCGCGUGAAUAAAUGUUGACGUUAAAAACCAUGCAAAGUUAGCAAUGUUGU